UUAGUGGCGGACGAGUGAGUAACGCGUGGGUAACCUGCCUUAUACAGGGGGAUAACAACCAGAAAUGGUUGCUAAUACCGCAUAAGCGCACAGGACCGCAUGGUCCGGUGUGAAAAACUCCGGUGGUAUAAGAUGGACCCGCGUUGGAUUAGCUAGUUGGCAGGGUAACGGCCUACCAAGGCGACGAUCCAUAGCCGGCCUGAGAGGGUGAACGGCCACAUUGGGACUGAGACACGGCCCAGACUCCUACGGGAGGCAGCAUG
RNAcentral lists this ribosomal RNA (263 nucleotides) under uncultured bacterium. RNAcentral's name for it is "partial 16S ribosomal RNA". It matches the Rfam family "Bacterial small subunit ribosomal RNA", at positions 92 to 353 of the family's 1533-position model. The record is from RNAcentral.